CCCUUAGAUGUCCUGGGCCGCACGCGUGCUACACUGACGCCUACAGCGAGCACUUUCCAGCCCCGAGAGGCGGCUGGUAAUCAGCAAUAGGCGUCGUGAUGGGGAUAGAUCUUUGGAAUUAUGGAUCUUGAACGAGGAAUGCCUAGUAAGCGCAGGUCAUUAGCCUGCGCUGAUUAAGUCCCUGCCCUUUGUACACACCGCCCGCCGCUCCUACCGAUUUCGAGUGGUCCGGCGAAUCUUUCGGACUGCGCGCGGCCUUGAGUCGUGUCGCGGAAAGUCAGGUAAACCUUAUCACUUAGAGGAAGGAGAAGUCGUAACA
RNAcentral lists this ribosomal RNA (319 nucleotides) under uncultured eukaryote. RNAcentral's name for it is "partial 18S ribosomal RNA". It matches the Rfam family "Eukaryotic small subunit ribosomal RNA", at positions 1470 to 1796 of the family's 1831-position model. The record is from RNAcentral.